GCAGGAGACCGACAGAGAGACGGGAGGACCGGGACCGGAGCUGGAGCUGCAUCCCGGCGGUCAGAGGACACCGGAGAGAGUCCUGCUUCCAGAUGUUUCCAGAUGUUUCCAGCUGCUGCUCCGCCUCAUAACGUGGCUCCGAGUUCUGAUUUGCAUCAGUCUGAAGCUACUUAACUCGACUCUGUAGAGAUUAUUGUCAUCAGUCUCUGAAGACCUGGUCCUCGGCGCUGCUCGGAGCCAAACCACCUGUGGCGUCGACUCAUGUCUCUGACCGAGGCUGAAGACUCUGCCUGCCUCUCUGUCCGUCUCCCCUCAGUUUAAUCCUCGGCUCUCCGGAGAGCAUUAGGCCAAGCAGCUGGGGCCUCUGAACGCCUCUUGAAAAGGCAGCCCACUCCAUCCUGGAGGGUGAGGAGGGGAGCAGAGGGGGGAUCAGACCACCUGGCUCCUGAAACACAGGAAAAUCCACCAACCAAUAACUCCACACAGAGGAGGAGGUGGAGGACUCACCCUCUGACCACCACGUCUGGACUCAUGUUCUUUCUUUCUGUCUUGGACAUAAAAGAAAAGGCUUCUAUUCUUCUAUGAUAUUACACAUUUAAAGAUUUAAUUAAUACAAAGCCAGCAUGUGUCGGUGUGUCUCAAUACUUUUGGAUUUCUCUGCUCUGUCCGUGACUCUCGGUUUCCAGACCGCUGGUUCCCACUGCCGAGUCUUAUUUCGUUUUUAAAAAGCUCUUUCUUAAAGGGGCUUCACAGCAGCUUGGUGGUUAGCACUGUCGCCUUGCAGCUAGAAGAUCCCGGUCUGCGUCCCAGCCUGGACCUGGAAUCUUUCUGCUUGGAGUCUGCACUUUCUCCCUGUGCAUGCGUGGGUUUUCUCCGGGUUUUCCAGCUUCCUGCCACAGUCCAAAAACAUGCUGAGGUUAAUUGGUAACUCUGAAUUGUCCGUAGAUGUGAACGCAAAUGUGAUUGUUUGUCUCUCUGUGUAGCUCUGUGAUGGACUGGUGGCCUGUCCAGGGUGUCUCUUGCCUUCACCAAGUCAGCUGGGAUAGACUCCAGCCCCCUGCAAACCCAGUGAGGAUUAAGCAGUGUAUAGAUAAUGGAUGGAUCUUUCUAAAAGAAAAAUAAAACAAUCAUGUGGG
Amphiprion ocellaris (clown anemonefish) is the source of this 1136-nucleotide long non-coding RNA. The record is from Ensembl. NCBI's taxonomy places the organism in Eukaryota, Metazoa, Chordata, Actinopteri, Pomacentridae.